This 253-nucleotide ribosomal RNA is filed under the name uncultured bacterium. Its description in RNAcentral is "partial 16S ribosomal RNA". It matches the Rfam family "Bacterial small subunit ribosomal RNA", at positions 524 to 776 of the family's 1533-position model. The record is from RNAcentral.
AACGUAGGAGGCAAGCGUUAUCCGGAGUUACUGGGCGUAAAGCGCGUGUAGGUGGAUUGGUAAGUUACUUAUAAAAGCUCCUGGCUAAACUAGGAGAGGUUGGGUGAUACUGCCAGUCUUGAAUAGAGGAGAGGUUGACGGAAUUCCGCGUGUAGUGGUGAAAUGCGUAGAGAUGCGGAAGAACACCAGUGGCGAAGGCGGUCAACUGGCCUCAUAUUGACACUCAGACGCGAAGGCAUGGGUAGCGAACGGG